CCGUAGCCAUGUCGGUUCAAG
RNAcentral lists this small RNA (21 nucleotides) under Karenia brevis. RNAcentral describes it as "trans-spliced leader sequence SL". The record is from RNAcentral. Lineage: Eukaryota; Dinophyceae; Gymnodiniales; Kareniaceae.